AGAGUUUGAUCAUGGCUCAGAUUGAACGCUGGCGGCAGGCCUAACACAUGCAAGUCGAACGGUAACAGGAAACAGCUUGCUUCUUCGCUGACGAGUGGCGGACGGGUGAGUAAUGUCUGGGAAACUGCCUGAUGGAGGGGGAUAACUACUGGAAACGGUAGCUAAUACCGCAUAACGUCGCAAGACCAAAGAGGGGGACCUUCGGGCCUCUUGCCAUCGGAUGUGCCCAGAUGGGAUUAGCUUGUUGGUGGGGUAACGGCUCACCAAGGCGACGAUCCCUAGCUGGUCUGAGAGGAUGACCAGCCACACUGGAACUGAGACACGGUCCAGACUCCUACGGGAGGCAGCAGUGGGGAAUAUUGCACAAUGGGCGCAAGCCUGAUGCAGCCAUGCCGCGUGUAUGAAGAAGGCCUUCGGGUUGUAAAGUACUUUCAGCGGGGAGGAAGGGAGUAAAGUUAAUACCUUUGCUCAUUGACGUUACCCGCAGAAGAAGCACCGGCUAACUCCGUGCCAGCAGCCGCGGUAAUACGGAGGGUGCAAGCGUUAAUCGGAAUUACUGGGCGUAAAGCGCACGCAGGCGGUUUGUUAAGUCAGAUGUGAAAUCCCCGGGCUCAACCUGGGAACUGCAUCUGAUACUGGCAAGCUUGAGUCUCGUAGAGGGGGGUAGAAUUCCAGGUGUAGCGGUGAAAUGCGUAGAGAUCUGGAGGAAUACCGGUGGCGAAGGCGGCCCCCUGGACGAAGACUGACGCUCAGGUGCGAAAGCGUGGGGAGCAAACAGGAUUAGAUACCCUGGUAGUCCACGCCGUAAACGAUGUCGACUUGGAGGUUGUGCCCUUGAGGCGUGGCUUCCGGAGCUAACGCGUUAAGUCGACCGCCUGGGGAGUACGGCCGCAAGGUUAAAACUCAAAUGAAUUGACGGGGGCCCGCACAAGCGGUGGAGCAUGUGGUUUAAUUCGAUGCAACGCGAAGAACCUUACCUGGUCUUGACAUCCACGGAAGUUUUCAGAGAUGAGAAUGUGCCUUCGGGAACCGUGAGACAGGUGCUGCAUGGCUGUCGUCAGCUCGUGUUGUGAAAUGUUGGGUUAAGUCCCGCAACGAGCGCAACCCUUAUCCUUUGUUGCCAGCGGUCCGGCCGGGAACUCAAAGGAGACUGCCAGUGAUAAACUGGAGGAAGGUGGGGAUGACGUCAAGUCAUCAUGGCCCUUACGACCAGGGCUACACACGUGCUACAAUGGCGCAUACAAAGAGAAGCGACCUCGCGAGAGCAAGCGGACCUCAUAAAGUGCGUCGUAGUCCGGAUUGGAGUCUGCAACUCGACUCCAUGAAGUCGGAAUCGCUAGUAAUCGUGGAUCAGAAUGCCACGGUGAAUACGUUCCCGGGCCUUGUACACACCGCCCGUCACACCAUGGGAGUGGGUUGCAAAAGAAGUAGGUAGCUUAACCUUCGGGAGGGCGCUUACCACUUUGUGAUUCAUGACUGGGGUGAAGUCGUAACAAGGUAACCGUAGGGGAACCUGCGGUUGGAUCACCU
This 1530-nucleotide ribosomal RNA is filed under the name Escherichia coli KTE156. RNAcentral describes it as "bacterial SSU rRNA". It matches the Rfam family "Bacterial small subunit ribosomal RNA". The record is from RNAcentral. Lineage: Bacteria; Pseudomonadati; Pseudomonadota; Gammaproteobacteria; Enterobacterales; Enterobacteriaceae.